RNAcentral lists this transfer RNA (113 nucleotides) under Heterodermia speciosa. It matches the Rfam family "tRNA". From Rfam's summary of the family: Transfer RNA (tRNA) molecules are approximately 80 nucleotides in length. Lineage: Eukaryota; Fungi; Ascomycota; Lecanoromycetes; Caliciales; Physciaceae. The record is from Rfam by way of RNAcentral.
GUUUGCGUGGCGCAGUGGUAGCGCGUCGUUCUUAUAACACAUUUUCGAAUGGGUUAUGAUUGGUUUCAUUGGAAGCAAUGCGAAUGUCGUGGGUUCGACCCCCACCGUGAACA